AGCCCAGUGGUCCAAUGGUAAGGCGCUCGUCGCGGAGCCAGAGGGUCCUGGGUUCGAUUCCCAACGGUGUCG
This 72-nucleotide transfer RNA is filed under the name Schistosoma japonicum. RNAcentral describes it as "tRNA-OTHER". The record is from RNAcentral. Lineage: Eukaryota; Metazoa; Platyhelminthes; Trematoda; Strigeidida; Schistosomatidae.